RNAcentral lists this microRNA (21 nucleotides) under Arabidopsis thaliana (thale cress). RNAcentral's name for it is "ath-miR407". Its record names the gene ath-miR407. The record is from miRBase by way of RNAcentral. Lineage: Eukaryota; Viridiplantae; Streptophyta; Magnoliopsida; Brassicales; Brassicaceae.
UUUAAAUCAUAUACUUUUGGU